CAGUUUUUCAAUUUUGACAAUAGGGCUUUUAAUCUGAUAAUGUCUCAGAUUUAACAUUCCAAGACUUCCUCAGUAAACCUGGAGAAAACUCCUUGGCCAUAGGCAAAGCCUAGGACAGCCAGAGCUUUUUGCUGUGACUCUAUGCAGCUUGGAGAGUUAGUAUCUGUUGGAGAUAGCCUGGAAGUGGGUGGGGGCAUGUCAGUGGGGACUGUUGCUGCAGUAGGAGACCCUUUCACAACGGCACUGUUUUGUCAUUUUGCACCCAGAUUUCCGUUGGCUAACCUCAGACUUAUCUUCCUCAUUUCAGUUUCCUCUUGAAGACACCAAGGGCCCUUCAAAACACAGGACCUUCCUGUUCACAGCAUAAAGCCCAAUUCCCUCUGGCCUCGGCAGUUUGGAUCAUCACCAGGGAACCAACCUAUGCCUCCUACGAGAUGAAAGCACCACUCCAAUAACAGGUAUAGUAUCUACUUGCCCUCUCUGCUAGGAUUCUCAAACCGAGGCACUAUCCAUGACUACCAAAUGUGGCUUGGAUCUACCAACUCCAUUCUUCUUGGACCCUUCUCAGGAAUCCUCAGUCAGGGGUGGGGGAGAAUAAGGGUCAUGUUUAUCUUCUGUCCUGGAACUUGUAAUGAUGAGAAGGGAGGAUGACAUUUCCUUACCAGAUAGACUGCUAAAGAGACAGCCAAAUGGAAGUGGAAUGUUCUCUAGAACCAGCCGUCAGGCUAUUUGAAUAGCAGUCCUGGUUUUGCCAUUUACUUACUGUGUAUCUUUGAUUUAGUCCUUUCUCCAUUCUAGGACUCUUCUGCAGAGAAGAAGAAGGGAAGGAUUAGGUAAAUAAUGUCUAGAGACUCUUAGUUUUAUAUCCCCUAUUUUGAUAGUUGUCAGCCCUCUGUUGAGAAAGGACAUGAGAGUGACGCUGAGUAAAUAUCUUUGGGUGGGGCUGAACAGGAGGCUGAAGUGUGCCUGAAAAAAAUCCCAUACUGUUCCCAGUAUGCGGAAGCCCAACCAGGUCAGUUGCAGGGCAGGUCUUAUUGCUUGAUAUGUAAGUCUUCUGAAGGUAGAGCAGGGAACAAAUGAUAUUUUAUGCAACAUAACAGACCAAGAGAGGAGCUUUCAGAGUGCCUCAAUAUCAAUCAAUGUAGAUAUCCAUGGAAAUCCAUAGAUAUACAUAUUUUUCUUAUGGGUCUGGCCAGCCUUUUUCAGCUGAACUUGCUUUCCUUAUAUACAUUAUUGGAGAGGCAUGGACUAGAACAUCAAAAGUAUAAAUAAAACCAAUCUAGUUUCAGCUCAGCCAUUGCUUUUUUCAUUAAUACUGGAGCAAAAUGGUCUAUAAGGCUUUUAUGAUUCCAGUGUGUAAGAAUCUUUAGCCUCCUUAUACCGAUCAUCCUUCCAAUGAAGUCAAAAAAGGUACUCUGUGCUGUGAACAUCUCCAGUUCUCCAGAACAAUAUCCAAGUCUUCUUACUGGAGCUGGUAGCCAAUAAGGAUGAUGAUAGAUGAAAGUCAUCAAUCCAGUUCUCUCUCCUCUGCCACUCUGAACUCAACUCUAUCAAUCAUCUUCCUUGGCUGGCCUCUACCCACAGCCCCAGGGAUUGAGCCAAUAUGCCUGUGAACUCCUAUAUGGGAGGCUCCAGAAAAAUCACCAAACACUUUCCUGACAAUUUUGCCAGAGAAUCCUAUUGAAGUUCAAGACCCCUAGAAAUGCCACAGUUUAGGACUCAUAUCUGAGGACCUCCCCUGGUGAACACUGGAACUUCAUUUGCAGUAUCAACUGGGCCUUUGCUACAUACCCUCAGGAUCAUUCCUCUGGGCCACAUCUCCCAGGAAGAUCUCACCUCACCACUGAAGCUCCUGGUCCAACCUGCAAUGCCACGCUCCGUGUAUUUGACAAGCUGAGUUGGACACUCCAUGUAGUAGAGUGUCAGUUUGUCAAAUACCCCAAGUGCGGCAUAUGCCUAGCAGCACCAGGCCAGAACUUCAAGAUAAAAUAAAUAGACUGCCAGCUGGAUACAAGAACAUCAAUCAACUUAGCUUUCAGAGGCUAUUUUUGGUAAAUUUGAUGCUACUAAAGCAUUGCACCUGAGAGUGUCAAAGUGAGGCAGCUCUGCUACACACACUGUGGGAGCCCUAGUGGGACACAGUAGUCUUGAAGGAGAUAUAUGAGACCUAGGGAUGGAGGUAUUCCUUGAUUCAUUAUUUUCUUCAUUCACAUUCCCCUCUGAGAGUUCCCUAGCAAGGUCAUCAGAAUUCUUACAUAAGGAUCAUGGCAGGGCUUGGACACUCUGUUUCUUGACACUUAGCCUUGGCUUCUAAACACACUUUGAUCUUACCUAUGUCUCUCCUUUGCGUUAUGCUCUUUCACCUUCUGGGAACAUCUUUCUUCAUUUCUCUCUUCUUAUUCAAAAUUUCUCCAUACUUUCUGGCUCAGCUGAUGGAGUUUUGAAAGUUAAACUCUUUCCUUCUUCAUUUUCAAAGCACUCCUUUUCUGGGUAUAUACUCUUUUAUUUCCUACUGCCCAAUGGUACCUCUUCAAUUAUAAUGAAAUGUUAGAAGAUUUUAUUUAUUUAUUUAUUUAUUUUAAAGAUUUUUUUCCUCCUGUUUUUAUUUUAUUUAUUUAUUUUUAAGGGCAACACCCAUGGCAUAUGGAGAUUCCCAGGCUAGGG
Molecule: non-coding RNA, 2664 nt
Organism: Sus scrofa (pig)
Lineage: Eukaryota; Metazoa; Chordata; Mammalia; Artiodactyla; Suidae
Source: RefSeq, a predicted model, not a curated record